GACGAACGCUGGCGGCGUGCCUAAUACAUGCAAGUCGAGCGGACAGAUGGGAGCUUGCUCCCUGAUGUUAGCGGCGGACGGGUGAGUAACACGUGGGUAACCUGCCUGUAAGACUGGCAUAACUCCGGGAAACCGGGGCUAAUACCGGAUGGUUGUUUGAACCGCAUGGUUCAAACAUAAAAGGUGGCUUCGGCUACCACUUACAGAUGGACCCGCGGCGCAUUAGCUAGUUGGUGAGGUAAUGGCUCACCAAGGCAACGAUGCGUAGCCGACCUGAGAGGGUGAUCGGCCACACUGGGACUGAGACACGGCCCAGACUCCUACGGGAGGCAGCAGUAGGGAAUCUUCCGCAAUGGACGAAAGUCUGACGGAGCAACGCCGCGUGAGUGAUGAAGGUUUUCGGAUCGUAAAGCUCUGUUGUUAGGGAAGCAACAAGUACCGUUCGAAU
This 448-nucleotide ribosomal RNA is filed under the name Bacillus subtilis. RNAcentral describes it as "bacterial SSU rRNA". It matches the Rfam family "Bacterial small subunit ribosomal RNA", at positions 28 to 466 of the family's 1533-position model. Lineage: Bacteria; Bacillati; Bacillota; Bacilli; Caryophanales; Bacillaceae. The record is from RNAcentral.